RNAcentral lists this ribosomal RNA (331 nucleotides) under uncultured eukaryote. Its description in RNAcentral is "partial 18S ribosomal RNA". It matches the Rfam family "Eukaryotic small subunit ribosomal RNA", at positions 592 to 975 of the family's 1831-position model. The record is from RNAcentral.
CAAUAGCGUAUAUUAAAGUUGUUGCAGUUAAAAAGCUCGUAGUUGAAUUUCGGGUCCCCGCGCUCGGCGCUUCAUUGUGCCGUCGUGGUGUCCCUCCUCGCCGUAAGGCGUCCUUUACUGUGAAAAAAUUAGAGUGUUCAAAGCAGGCAAUCGCUUGAAUACAUUAGCAUGGAAUAAUAAGAUAGGAUCUUGUCUAUUUUGUUGGUUGCGGACAACGAUAAUGAUUAAUAGGGAUAGUUGGGGGUGUCCGUAUUGAGCUGUCAGAGGUGAAAUUCUUGGAUUUGCUCAAGGCGAACUACUGCGAAAGCAUUCACCAAGGAUGUUUUCAUUA